RNAcentral lists this non-coding RNA (33 nucleotides) under unclassified sequences. Its description in RNAcentral is "DUF805b RNA". It matches the Rfam family "DUF805b RNA". From Rfam's summary of the family: Bacteroidetes, Chlorobi (1 example), Proteobacteria. Lineage (Flavobacteria) The record is from RNAcentral.
ACUGCGGUCUCCGAAAAGCAAACAGAGUAGGAA